CCUGGCGGCAUGCUUACACAUGCAAGUCGCACGGGCAGCAAUGUCAGUGGCGGACGGGUGAGUAUCGCGUAGGAAUGUAUCCUGAGGUGGGGGACAACCCUGGGAAACUGGGGCUAAUACCGCAUAUGGACUGAGGUCCAAAGCCGUGAGGCGCCAUGGGAGCAGCCUGCGUCCGAUUAGGUAGUUGGUGGGGUAAAGGCCUACCAAGCCUGCGAUCGGUAGCUGGUCUGAGAGGACGAUCAGCCACACUGGGACUGAGACACGGCCCAGACUCCUACGGGAGGCAGCAGUGGGGAAUAUUGGACAAUGGGCGCAAGCCUGAUCCAGCAAUGCCGCGUGGGUGAAGAAGGUCUUCGGAUUGUAAAGCCCUUUCGACGGGGACGAUGAUGACGGUACCCGUAGAAGAAGCCCCGGCUAACUUCGUGCCAGCAGCCGCGGUAAU
RNAcentral lists this ribosomal RNA (442 nucleotides) under uncultured bacterium. Its description in RNAcentral is "bacterial SSU rRNA". It matches the Rfam family "Bacterial small subunit ribosomal RNA", at positions 36 to 524 of the family's 1533-position model. The record is from RNAcentral.